Triticum aestivum (bread wheat) is the source of this 3266-nucleotide long non-coding RNA. RefSeq lists it as uncharacterized. The record is from RefSeq and is a predicted model, not a curated record. The transcript has 3 exons. Lineage: Eukaryota; Viridiplantae; Streptophyta; Magnoliopsida; Poales; Poaceae.
CGCCGCCACCCACCCCUCCCCUCCCUACCUCAGAUUGUCUCCCCUCUCCCCACUCUCAGAUCCAACUGGCCCGAGACGGAGGCCGUCGUGGACAUGGUCGCCACCACCGACCGCGAGUGGGGGUCCUCGUCCUCUCCCUUGUCGUCCUUAGCGGCGGCAUCUGGCUGAGCUACCGGGCCGCCACUACCGACUGCGAGUGGUUCCUGGAGCGGCCAGUCAUCGCGCUAGAGGCGCUGCGCCUGGUGCUCUUCCUCACGGGGCUCGCGGGGUCCCUCUUCCGCGUCUUCAUCAUCUUCUCCUUCGUCGUCACCAACUGCAGCCACGACGUUACGGCCGUGCGGCACCCGCCUUCAGAUCCCUCCGCCCACUCGUGCCCUUGCUCCCUUCUGCCUGCGGGGCUGCGCCCCUCGUGCUGCUCCCCAACGACGCGGGUAGGCGCGCGGGCUUGUCCAAGUGUCGGGCGACCGGUCGUGGUGGUACAAGCAUCGUUGAGAGGGGGCCGGAGGAGCCAUCUUCCUGGCCAUCGCCUACUUUGACCGCUUCUUCCUCUGGCGAUGCAUCGAUAGGACGGCCAUGCCGUGGGCGGCGCGGCUCCUAUCCAUGGCCUGCGUCUCUAUGGCGGCGAAGAUGGAGGAGUUCUGCGCACCGGCACUGUCGGAGCUCGACGCCAGCAGCGGCUACGAGUUCUGCUCCGCCUCCGUCCGCUGAAUGGAGCUGCUCGUGUUGUCAACCCUCGGCUAGCGCAUGGCCGCCGUUACGCCCUUCGACUACCUCCCCUGCUUCUCUUCUCGGCUCGACCGGCACGACGGCCGCUGCAGCGGCAAGCAUGACCCCGCCCACGUGGCCCUCAAGUCCAUGGACUUCAUCUUUGCCACAACCGAAGCCGGCAAUGUGCUAGAUUACAGGCUAUCUACUGUAGCUGCGGCUGCAAUCUUGGCUGCAUCCUACGGAGCUCUACUGACCAAAGAAGCACUAGAGUCCAUGAAACUCUGUUUUUUAGACUACUAGGAAUGACUGCUUCUGCUUGGUUGGGUGCAGUCGAAAUCCGUGAUAACAAGCUAGCUAGCUAGCAACCAUGUCUGUGGCCAUGUCCAGAUAUAUAUAUCCUUCUCCAUUGUAGAUCCAUUGUAUUUGCAUGCUGCUAUAUUAUGUCAAGUUGAGUGAAGCAAACAUAUCCUCGUGUGUGUGUGUGUGUGUGUGUGUGUGUGUGUGUGUAAUCAUCUCCUAAUGCUCCUACCAGCUUUCUGACUUCGGCAAAUGAUUUGACUCCUCUCACUUGGCCUAGGAGCAACACCACUGCUGAUGAGAGCAGAUCCUUUCCCUCAAUAGAUUAGCAUCAUUCCAUUCUUACUCUGUAGUAGAAUUGGUAGUGAUAGAGUGGGUGAAUCUAUGUGAUGUAGAGAUACACUAAGAUCAAGCAAAAAUAUAUAUUAGUUCUCCUGAUGCUUACCAGUGAAUUCAAGUCUGCUUAUUUGAAGGUCCAACACUUGUGCAUACUGAUUUGUGUCCUUUGUGGUUUGGGGAAAGAAAAUAUAAAGGUGUGGUUAUUAUUGGUUUGGCUCUUGCAAUGCAUAGGCACAGCAGGGUAUUCUCCUGUGUGCUACUAAAUGUCACGGAGAAGAAACAAAGAUGGCAAGUAAAAAGAAACUGUUUAUAACUUCAACACUAGCUGAAUUUACAGCAAAACUAAUUUGUAAAAUAAAACCUGGAUUAGAUCAACAAGUCCUUAGCAUAUCAAACGUUCCACUUUGGAAAUGUCAGCCUGUAGCACAUAAUAUGUUAUCUUAUUGCCGUUGUGUCACUGUAUCCUAGUAAUUCUGUUGUGUCACUGUAUCCCAGUAAAGCAAGAUGCUUGCUAUACUCAUGUUCCUGAUUAUAUUGGUGUACACUCAAUUUGGUUAUUUCUUCUAGUUCUGCUACUAGUUGCUGUGUACUCCUAGUGUUGUAGUUAUUGUGUAGUAAUACAGAAAUAUUAAUGCUCAAAUAUGAUGAUGUGGCCUGCAGCGCACCUGCUUCGACGCCGACCCGUCCAUCGUCAUCGCCUUCGAGGACGACAAGGACACUGCAAGCAUCGUCGGCUUCCACCACUACCACAUCGUCGUCACCUACAAGUUUCACGAUGGCGUCUGGGCCAUCGAGUCCUUCUGCAGCUGCUGCCGCUGCUCCUUCCACAAUUUGGGUGGGACUCGUCAGAUCAGCCUCCUUGUUUCCUAUUUUAGGUAGUACAUCCUUCUUGCUCGAAUCUACUACUUGAUUUGCCUGCAUAUCUCCCGCUCCGGCGCAGAAUUGAUGGGUUCUUCCUGGAUUCUGGAAACCUGCAAAAAUUGAAUUUUCUAGGGGCAAUCUCAGCCUACUCGCCACAAUUUCUGCUUGUCUGAUUGGCUCCAGCAUUAAUUACUAGGCCGAGAUUUUAGUUUGUUGUCAUCGUCGAGUCUCAGAUCCUCAUGCCCAUUUAUAUGUUCUCUAUUGUGAAUUACUUCUAUGUUGUGUGUCAAAAUUUGAAGUAGAUCUGAAGUCUGCAUAGAUUUGAAGUAGAUCUAAAGUAGAUCAUGUCAUUUUUCUGAACUAUGCAUAGAUUUGUAACAAUGAGCAUAGGUGGUUAUAGGUUGUUGUGAUGAUGAAUAUAAAUAUUAAGAAGUGCUCAUGCAUGGCGGUAUACCAGAUACCAUUGUUUUCACCGUUUUAUCAACAUGCCUUUGCUGAAUCUUUGGUUUAUAUGUGUAAACUAUACAUUUUCAGCUCUUGAGUACUUUUUAGUUAUUGAACGAACUCAUACUGGUUAGUGUUGGCCAUAUGCAAGUAAACUAGAUACCCACAAGACUUAACUAUUUCCCAAAGCUAUAGUGAGACAUUCUAUACUACACUGCUAAUGCUUAUCCGAGUUCGUUGUUUUAUGUUCAUGGUAAAUAAAUGUUGACAUAUUAGCUAAUUGUGUACCUAAAUAUGACCGAGGUACAAUGGAUACAACAAGCUCAUCCUCCUCAAUCCCUAGCUACCGCAUGACUGCCGAAGUGCAUACUCCCUCCUGUUCCUGGAGCAUCUGGACCUCUUAUUGUAGUAGUUGGUAUGCUUGAUGCGUGUAUGUCCAUCUCUUUACUGUUUUGCUAGAACCAUAAAUCCUGAUGCAUGAUGAUCAUGGUCUGGUUUGUUAGAUCUAUUCUGCCGCUGCUUAAAAUUUGACAUGCCUGGAUUCUUAAUGAACUCGUCCUUAUAGUUCUUUUCAUUUCUAUGAUCAAUUUAGAGAGUUGCACAUGUCAGUAUAUUAU